CCCUUAGAUGUUCUGGGCCGCACGCGCGCUACACUGAUACAUGCAACGAGUUUAUAACCUUGAUCUGACGGUCUGGGUAAUCUUCAAACUGUAUCGUGUUAGGGAUCGAUUCUUGCAGUUUUUAAUCGUAAACGAGGAAUUCCUAGUAAACGCAAGUCAUCAGCUUGCAUUGAUUACGUCCCUGCCCUUUGUACACACCGCCCGUCGACUCUACCGAUUGAAUGGUUCGGUGAAAACUUUGGACUGUGGCAUUGUCCUUCAUUGGACUUCGCCGUAGGAAAUUGUUUAAACCUCAUCAUUUAGAGGAAGAAUAAGUCGUAACA
This 323-nucleotide ribosomal RNA is filed under the name uncultured eukaryote. Its description in RNAcentral is "partial 18S ribosomal RNA". It matches the Rfam family "Eukaryotic small subunit ribosomal RNA", at positions 1470 to 1796 of the family's 1831-position model. The record is from RNAcentral.